AGUGAACGCUGGCGGUAGGCCUAACACAUGCAAGUCGAGCGGCUGCACGGUGCUUGCUUCUUCUUUCGGCUGCGGAGUGGUGGGUGGUGCCUGAAAAUCUCCCUGUUUGUUGUUUCUUACGUCCUAACGUAGGCGCUCUUACGCCAUUAGCCCUUACGACGUACGUGUGAGAGCUUCGGACCUCCCGAUAUCACAUGAUCCUAUGUCCGAAUGUCGGAUUAGCUAGUUGGCGGGGUAAAGGCCCACCAAGGCGACGAUCCGUAGCUGGUCUGAGAGGAUGAUCAGCCACACUGGAACUGAGACACGGUCCAGACUCCUACGGGAGGCAGCAGUGGGGAAUAUUGGACAAAGGGCGAAAGCCUGAUCCAGCCAUGCCGCGUGUGUGAAGAAGGCCUUCGGAUUGUAAAGCACUUUUGGUGGGGAAGAAGAGCAGUAGGUUAAUACCUUGCUGUUUUGACGGUACCAACAGAAUAAGCACCGGCUAACUUCGUG
RNAcentral lists this ribosomal RNA (492 nucleotides) under uncultured bacterium. RNAcentral describes it as "partial 16S ribosomal RNA". It matches the Rfam family "Bacterial small subunit ribosomal RNA", at positions 29 to 507 of the family's 1533-position model. The record is from RNAcentral.